UACGAAGGGUGCAAACGUUGCUCGGAAUUAUUGGGCGUAAAGCGCACGUAGGCGGCUUGGCAAGUCGGAUGUGAAAUCCCUCGGCUCAACCAAGGAAGUGCAUCCGAAACUGCUAAGCUUGAGUACUUAAGAGGAUCGCGGAAUUCCCGGUGUAGAGGUGAAAUUCGUAGAUAUCGAGAGGAACACCAGUGGCGAAGGCGAGUCCCUGGACAACACCUGACACUGAGGCACGAAAGCUAGGGGAGCAAACAGG
RNAcentral lists this ribosomal RNA (253 nucleotides) under uncultured bacterium. Its description in RNAcentral is "partial 16S ribosomal RNA". It matches the Rfam family "Bacterial small subunit ribosomal RNA", at positions 524 to 776 of the family's 1533-position model. The record is from RNAcentral.